RNAcentral lists this ribosomal RNA (477 nucleotides) under uncultured Methylohalobius sp. Its description in RNAcentral is "bacterial SSU rRNA". It matches the Rfam family "Bacterial small subunit ribosomal RNA", at positions 8 to 478 of the family's 1533-position model. Lineage: Bacteria; Pseudomonadati; Pseudomonadota; Gammaproteobacteria; Methylococcales; Methylothermaceae. The record is from RNAcentral.
AGAGUUUGAUCCUGGCUCAGAUUGAACGCUGGCGGCGUGCUUAACACAUGCAAGUCGAUCGGUAACAGGUGUAGCAAUACAUGCUGACGAGAGGCGGACGGGUGAGGAAUAUUUGGGAAUCUGCCCAUCAGCGGGGGACAACCCGGGGAAACCCGGGCUAAUACCGCAUACGCUCUACGGAGGAAAGCCGGGGACCGCAAGGCCUGGCACUGAUGGAUGAGCCCAAAUCGGAUUAGCUAGUUGGCGGGGUAACGGCCCACCAAGGCGACGAUCCGUAGCUGGUCUGAGAGGACGAUCAGCCACACCGGAACUGAGACACGGUCCGGACUCCUACGGGAGGCAGCAGUGGGGAAUAUUGGACAAUGGGGGAAACCCUGAUCCAGCGACGCCGCGUGGGUGAAGAAGGCCUGCGGGUUGUAAAGCCCUUUCGGUAGGGACGAAAGCUCUUGCUCUAAUAAUGCAAGAGGUUGACUAACC